UACGUAGGCAGCGAGCGUUGUUCGGAGUUACUGGGCGUAAAGGGUGUGUAGGCGGUUGUUUAAGUUUGGUGUGAAAUCUCCCGGCUCAACUGGGAGGGUGCGCCGAAUACUGAAUGACUUGGAGUGCGGGAGAGGAAAGGUGGAAUUCCUGGUGUAGCGGUGAAAUGCGUAGAUAUCAGGAGGAACACCGGUGGUGUAGACGGCUUUCUGGACCGUAACUGACGCUGAGACACGAAAGCGUGGGUAGCAAACAGG
Molecule: ribosomal RNA, 255 nt
Filed under: uncultured bacterium
Lineage: Bacteria
Description: partial 16S ribosomal RNA
Rfam family: Bacterial small subunit ribosomal RNA
Source: RNAcentral